GUGAUAACAGUUUACCUAAUUAAAAUUGGAACGAUACAGAGAAGAUUGGCAUGCCCCCUGUGCAAAGAUGACACGCAAUUUCAUGAAGCGUUCCAUAUAGGG
Hemiscyllium ocellatum (epaulette shark) is the source of this 102-nucleotide small nuclear RNA. The record is from RefSeq and is a predicted model, not a curated record. NCBI's taxonomy places the organism in Eukaryota, Metazoa, Chordata, Chondrichthyes, Orectolobiformes, Hemiscylliidae.